This 347-nucleotide ribosomal RNA is filed under the name Salmonella enterica subsp. enterica serovar 1,4,[5],12:i:-. Its description in RNAcentral is "bacterial SSU rRNA". It matches the Rfam family "Bacterial small subunit ribosomal RNA", at positions 18 to 367 of the family's 1533-position model. Lineage: Bacteria; Pseudomonadati; Pseudomonadota; Gammaproteobacteria; Enterobacterales; Enterobacteriaceae. The record is from RNAcentral.
CCUGGCUCAGAUUGAACGCUGGCGGCAUGCCUUACACAUGCAAGUCGAACGGCAGCACGGAGCUUGCUCUGGUGGCGAGUGGCGAACGGGUGAGUAAUAUAUCGGAACGUACCCUAGAGUGGGGGAUAACGUAGCGAAAGUUACGCUAAUACCGCAUACGAUCUAAGGAUGAAAGUGGGGGAUCGCAAGACCUCAUGCUCGUGGAGCGGCCGAUAUCUGAUUAGCUAGUUGGUAGGGUAAAAGCCUACCAAGGCAUCGAUCAGUAGCUGGUCUGAGAGGACGACCAGCCACACUGGAACUGAGACACGGUCCAGACUCCUACGGGAGGCAGCAGUGGGGAAUUUUGG